GAUGAACGCUAGCGGCAGGCCUAAUACAUGCAAGUCGAACGGUAAAUAUUUUAGCAAUAGAAUAUGAGAGUGACGUACGGGUGCGUAACACGUAUGCAACCUACCCUUUACAGGAGUAUAGCUCGGGGAAACUCGGAUUAAAGCUUCAUAAUAUGAUUGAAUGGCAUCAUUUGAUUAUUAAAUCUACGGAGGUAAAGGAUGGGCAUGCGUCUGAUUAGUUAGUUGGCGGUGUAACGGACCACCAAGACGAUGAUCAGUAGGGGAACUGAGAGGUUGAUCCCCCACACUGGCACUGAGAUACGGGCCAGACUCCUACGGGAGGCAGCAGUAGGGAAUAUUGGUCAAUGGAUGGAAGUCUGAACCAGCCAUGCCGCGUGCAGGAAGAAGGCCUUCUGGGUUGUAAACUGCUUUUGCCAGGGGCUAAAAAGCUCAUGCGUGAGAAAUUGAAAGUACCUGGUGAAUAAGCCACGGCUAACUACGUGC
Molecule: ribosomal RNA, 483 nt
Filed under: uncultured bacterium
Lineage: Bacteria
Description: bacterial SSU rRNA
Rfam family: Bacterial small subunit ribosomal RNA
Source: RNAcentral